GCACUCUGAUCCAGCCAUGCCGCGUGCAGGAAGACUGCCCUAUGGGUUGUAAACUGCUUUUAUAGAGGAAGAAACCUCCCUACGUGUAGGGAGCUGACGGUACUCUACGAAUAAGGAUCGGCUAACUCCGUGCCAGCAGCCGCGGUAAUACGGAGGAUCCAAGCGUUAUCCGGAAUCAUUGGGUUUAAAGGGUCCGUAGGCGGGCAGUUAAGUCAGUGGUGAAAGUCUUCCGCUCAACGGGAGAAUUGCCAUUGAUACUGAUUGUCUUGAGUCAUUAUGAAGUGGUUAGAAUGAGUAGUGUAGCGGUGAAAUGCAUAGAUAUUACUCAGAAUACCGAUUGCGAAGGCAGAUCACUAAUAAUGUACUGACGCUGAUGGACGAAAGCGUAGGUAGCGAACAGGAUUAGAUACCCUGGUAGUCUACGCCGUAAACGAUGGUUACUAGCUGUUUGGACGAUUGAGUCUGAGUGGCUAAGCGAAAGUGAUAAGUAACCCACCUGGGGAGUACGUUCGCAAGAAUGAAACUCAAAUG
RNAcentral lists this ribosomal RNA (531 nucleotides) under Mesonia sp. RNAcentral describes it as "bacterial SSU rRNA". It matches the Rfam family "Bacterial small subunit ribosomal RNA", at positions 378 to 907 of the family's 1533-position model. Lineage: Bacteria; Pseudomonadati; Bacteroidota; Flavobacteriia; Flavobacteriales; Flavobacteriaceae. The record is from RNAcentral.